RNAcentral lists this ribosomal RNA (2303 nucleotides) under Staphylococcus aureus subsp. aureus CIG2018. RNAcentral's name for it is "bacterial LSU rRNA". It matches the Rfam family "Bacterial large subunit ribosomal RNA", at positions 4 to 2305 of the family's 2925-position model. The record is from RNAcentral. Lineage: Bacteria; Bacillati; Bacillota; Bacilli; Caryophanales; Staphylococcaceae.
UAAGUUAUUAAGGGCGCACGGUGGAUGCCUUGGCACUAGAAGCCAAUGAAGGACGUUACUAACGACGAUAUGCUUUGGGGAGCUGUAAGUAAGCUUUGAUCCAGAGAUUUCCGAAUGGGGAAACCCAGCAUGAGUUAUGUCAUGUUAUCGAUAUGUGAAUACAUAGCAUAUCAGAAGGCACACCCGGAGAACUGAAACAUCUUAGUACCCGGAGGAAGAGAAAGAAAAUUCGAUUCCCUUAGUAGCGGCGAGCGAAACGGGAAGAGCCCAAACCAACAAGCUUGCUUGUUGGGGUUGUAGGACACUCUAUACGGAGUUACAAAGGACGACAUUAGACGAAUCAUCUGGAAAGAUGAAUCAAAGAAGGUAAUAAUCCUGUAGUCGAAAAUGUUGUCUCUCUUGAGUGGAUCCUGAGUACGACGGAGCACGUGAAAUUCCGUCGGAAUCUGGGAGGACCAUCUCCUAAGGCUAAAUACUCUCUAGUGACCGAUAGUGAACCAGUACCGUGAGGGAAAGGUGAAAAGCACCCCGGAAGGGGAGUGAAAUAGAACCUGAAACCGUGUGCUUACAAGUAGUCAGAGCCCGUUAAUGGGUGAUGGCGUGCCUUUUGUAGAAUGAACCGGCGAGUUACGAUUUGAUGCAAGGUUAAGCAGUAAAUGUGGAGCCGUAGCGAAAGCGAGUCUGAAUAGGGCGUUUAGUAUUUGGUCGUAGACCCGAAACCAGGUGAUCUACCCUUGGUCAGGUUGAAGUUCAGGUAACACUGAAUGGAGGACCGAACCGACUUACGUUGAAAAGUGAGCGGAUGAACUGAGGGUAGCGGAGAAAUUCCAAUCGAACCUGGAGAUAGCUGGUUCUCUCCGAAAUAGCUUUAGGGCUAGCCUCAAGUGAUGAUUAUUGGAGGUAGAGCACUGUUUGGACGAGGGGCCCCUCUCGGGUUACCGAAUUCAGACAAACUCCGAAUGCCAAUUAAUUUAACUUGGGAGUCAGAACAUGGGUGAUAAGGUCCGUGUUCGAAAGGGAAACAGCCCAGACCACCAGCUAAGGUCCCAAAAUAUAUGUUAAGUGGAAAAGGAUGUGGCGUUGCCCAGACAACUAGGAUGUUGGCUUAGAAGCAGCCAUCAUUUAAAGAGUGCGUAAUAGCUCACUAGUCGAGUGACACUGCGCCGAAAAUGUACCGGGGCUAAACAUAUUACCGAAGCUGUGGAUUGUCCUUUGGACAAUGGUAGGAGAGCGUUCUAAGGGCGUUGAAGCAUGAUCGUAAGGACAUGUGGAGCGCUUAGAAGUGAGAAUGCCGGUGUGAGUAGCGAAAGACGGGUGAGAAUCCCGUCCACCGAUUGACUAAGGUUUCCAGAGGAAGGCUCGUCCGCUCUGGGUUAGUCGGGUCCUAAGCUGAGGCCGACAGGCGUAGGCGAUGGAUAACAGGUUGAUAUUCCUGUACCACCUAUAAUCGUUUUAAUCGAUGGGGGGACGCAGUAGGAUAGGCGAAGCGUGCGAUUGGAUUGCACGUCUAAGCAGUAAGGCUGAGUAUUAGGCAAAUCCGGUACUCGUUAAGGCUGAGCUGUGAUGGGGAGAAGACAUUGUGUCUUCGAGUCGUUGAUUUCACACUGCCGAGAAAAGCCUCUAGAUAGAAAAUAGGUGCCCGUACCGCAAACCGACACAGGUAGUCAAGAUGAGAAUUCUAAGGUGAGCGAGCGAACUCUCGUUAAGGAACUCGGCAAAAUGACCCCGUAACUUCGGGAGAAGGGGUGCUCUUUAGGGUUAACGCCCAGAAGAGCCGCAGUGAAUAGGCCCAAGCGACUGUUUAUCAAAAACACAGGUCUCUGCUAAACCGUAAGGUGAUGUAUAGGGGCUGACGCCUGCCCGGUGCUGGAAGGUUAAGAGGAGUGGUUAGCUUCUGCGAAGCUACGAAUCGAAGCCCCAGUAAACGGCGGCCGUAACUAUAACGGUCCUAAGGUAGCGAAAUUCCUUGUCGGGUAAGUUCCGACCCGCACGAAAGGCGUAACGAUUUGGGCACUGUCUCAACGAGAGACUCGGUGAAAUCAUAGUACCUGUGAAGAUGCAGGUUACCCGCGACAGGACGGAAAGACCCCGUGGAGCUUUACUGUAGCCUGAUAUUGAAAUUCGGCACAGCUUGUACAGGAUAGGUAGGAGCCUUUGAAACGUGAGCGCUAGCUUACGUGGAGGCGCUGGUGGGAUACUACCCUAGCUGUGUUGGCUUUCUAACCCGCACCACUUAUCGUGGUGGGAGACAGUGUCAGGCGGGCAGUUUGACUGGGGCGGUCGCCUCCUAAAAGGUAACGGAG